AACGAACGCUGGCGGCAUGCCUAACACAUGCAAGUCGAACGAACCCUUCGGGGUUAGUGGCGCACGGGUGCGUAACGCGUGGGAAUCUGCCCUUUGCUUCGGAAUAACUCAGGGAAACUUGUGCUAAUACCGGAUGAUGUCUUCGGACCAAAGAUUUAUCGGCAAGGGAUGAGCCCGCGUAGGAUUAGGUAGUUGGUGGGGUAAAGGCCUACCAAGCCGACGAUUCUUAGCUGGUCUGAGAGGAUGAUCAGCCACACUGGGACUGAGACACGGCCCAGACUCCUACGGGAGGCAGCAGUGGGGAAUAUUGGACAAUGGGCGCAAGCCUGAUCCAGCAAUGCCGCGUGAGUGAUGAAGGCCCUCGGGUCGUAAAGCUCUUUUACCAGGGAUGAUAAUGACAGUACCUGGAGAAUAAGCUCCGGCUAACUCCGUG
Molecule: ribosomal RNA, 433 nt
Filed under: uncultured bacterium
Lineage: Bacteria
Description: partial 16S ribosomal RNA
Rfam family: Bacterial small subunit ribosomal RNA
Source: RNAcentral